Pseudopipra pipra is the source of this 379-nucleotide long non-coding RNA. RefSeq lists it as uncharacterized. The record is from RefSeq and is a predicted model, not a curated record. Lineage: Eukaryota; Metazoa; Chordata; Aves; Passeriformes; Pipridae. The transcript is spliced from 4 exons.
GAGAUCACCACUGAUGCUGGCAGUACAGCACCAGCACAGAGAUUGUGUGGCUACUCUGCUGGAGCAUGGUGCCAACCGUGCCCACAGAGCUGCUACUGGUAACACCGCCCUUCACUUUGCUGUCCUGGUGUCUAGCAAAUCUCUAGUGGAGCUGUUACUAGAGCAUGGCGCAGAUAUUGAUGUUAAGAAUGAACUGGGAUACACUCCACUUACUCUUGCCAUCACCGAGCGUUGCAAAGGGAUGAUCGAGUUCCUUCUUCAAAAAGGAGCUGACGUGAAUGCUACAGAUAAUCAUAAAAGGACCCCUAUGGAAGUUGCUGCUAUUCUUCAGGAUAAGGAUGCAGUAGAAGUUCUUCUUCGCAAUGGCGGUGUUAUCAAU